This is a long non-coding RNA of Aedes albopictus (Asian tiger mosquito), 1268 nucleotides long. RefSeq lists it as uncharacterized. The record is from RefSeq and is a predicted model, not a curated record. Lineage: Eukaryota; Metazoa; Arthropoda; Insecta; Diptera; Culicidae. The transcript is spliced from 3 exons.
GAUUCCGCUACGUCGACACUCCGUCGAGCCCCCGAUGCCCCAGUUUCGACCACACCCGACGGCCAUCAAAGGGAUUGUUUCGUGCACGAUAGACGUCAGACCCCGUAGGUAGAAACAAUAGGGACACAGAACAAGCAAGUGAAUGUGAUGACAUGCAGAUCACUCUAGAAGCUAAAAUUAAAAUAAUUUGGAUUAAGUGAAUUACUUAUGCUCUAAUGAAAUGAAUUCCAAGUGCUACUUAUUAUCUAACUGUUUAGAUACCAUGCAAGUAAUUUAAACAUCUAAAUGGUGAAACUCGUGAUCUAUAUGCUAGUUGUUUCUUAUUGCAGUUUUUGAAGUAGCUUACUGGAAUUGUACUACACAUGAAUUCGUAGAUAUAUAUAAAAUUACAGAUAAGGGUGAGACAGAUUAUUUGGCAAAAUGCUUUGAUUAUAUCUACAUAUAUUUUUUCUUUAAUAGCAUAAAUUUAAGGAAGUGCAUUCAAAACUAGUAACUAGGAUACAUACACUUAAACACUAAAUUGAACUACGACACUUGUCACAGGGAAGAAUUUAUAAGUUGAAGAAUCAACGCAUCAACUAGAACGGUUGAGCGGUAACGAAUUACUACAAGAAUUUUGUAAUUUAUUCUUCGUAUCAUCUCACCAAUAAAUUCACAUAAUUGACUAUUCGUCUAUUACCGCCCAACAUCUUACAAAAUUCUUGUAAGCAUCUUCCAAGAACGCCAAGUAUUAGACGACUGGUGCUAAUCGGUAGCUGGACACCAUGAGCACUACCAGUGGGAAGUCAGGAAACAGAACCGAACGCCAGGCUACUGAGGCAGCUGUAGUCACCGGAAUCGACAGCCUUACUAUCGUGGAUAAAGCGAAAAGCGGAGCGAAGGAUGCUGCGAAUCAGGUAACUGGCGCAGAAUGCGCAGCAGCUCUACAGCCUACAAAAACGGUCCUGAAUCCCAAGGCAGAUGAUGCAGUCGGUGCCGUCGCCGAGGAUCGUACGACGGGAACCAAGCCAAAGCAAGUAACUAAUCCAAGGGCUGCAGUCCCUGUCGACCCUCAACAAUUAUCGACGGCUCCAGCCGGUACGACAUUGUCCAGUAUACGAGUCAGAGUCACUAGAUUUAGCCAUUGCGAAAUGUGCAACGAUCGCGACAAUAGCAGGAUGGUGCAAUGCGAUAAUUGCAGUCUAUGGUAUCACUUUUCGUGCGUUGAUGUGACUAGUGGUAUAGCAGAUUAUAGCUGGGUCUGCCCUGCGUGUGCGGAAGAAAGCAGA